GCCCACACACAAAAAAUUUAGCGAAAGCACGAAAUCUACUCUCUAUUAUGGCAUUGCUUAAGAUUAAUUACUUUUUCGUUUUUCUUCUCAUGGCAACAAUUAUCAACUUGUCGUGGUUCUCAGAGAUUCAAGGAGUAGCUGCACGUGAUAUUGAUCAUGGUCUUUCAGGACUCAAGAAGAGACUACUUCCACAAGUCGAUGAUUAUAUUUUUACUUGCUAUAGGCCUUGUACAGAAGACAAAGAAUGCAGUGAUUGCGCUCUUUGUUGUUCAUGCCAUGGCCCUGAAGGUUUCAAGAGUUGUAGCUUCUGGUAGUACAAUUAUAUUAAUGCCCAAAAUAAAGAAAAAUCCCCACAAAUAAAAUUAAAUCCCUUAUUAUAUUGUGGUGUUUCCUUCAUCUUUUCUUGCUUCCUUGUAUUUUAUGUUUUGUAUGAAUAAAGAAAAAGUCAAGUGAAUGACUUUUCAAAGUGUU
Non-coding RNA from Nicotiana tabacum (common tobacco), 471 nucleotides. The record is from RefSeq and is a predicted model, not a curated record. Lineage: Eukaryota; Viridiplantae; Streptophyta; Magnoliopsida; Solanales; Solanaceae.